Molecule: unclassified non-coding RNA, 1459 nt
Filed under: Leishmania donovani
Lineage: Eukaryota; Euglenozoa; Kinetoplastea; Trypanosomatida; Trypanosomatidae
Description: gene:unknown
Source: RNAcentral
ACGUGUGCGACUACGGACGACAGAAUACCGUAGCCUCUUCUUCCACAUCUGCGCCUCUUCUUCGCUCACGCUCUGCAGUAGGUUUGCUUGCCCCUGCCCCUUCACGCCUGCUCUCUAUCACGCGCACACUCUCUUUCGCGUACACCGGUCCUCGUGCGCGCGAGUUGAGUGGCCUGAAUUGCCUUCGCAGCUCAGCGGGAGCAACUAUCGCGCAUUCAACGACCGCUUGUCAUCAAGUCCUGUGCCGCCGUUGCGGUCACACUCGGGCCCGACCCGUUUCUCUUCUCGCACUACACCUCGCUCUCGCGUGUGUCGAUCACGGCGUUAUCGGUUAAUACGCACAUAGACACGCGCGCGCACCCGCACAGCGAUCAUGCUAAGGUACAGCGCAGCUGCCGCUCUACUUAUCGUUCAACUGCAGCCGAUCCCGCUUGUGGAUCCUUCCCUCUGUCGGUGACCUGCGCCGACAUCACAUCGUUGUAGUGGUGCUGCGCACGUACCUCGUUGGCCGGCGCUCGGUGGAGUGGGGGAGUGGCGCGCACCGGUGACGGUGGUGACGAUUGCGCGGGGGGAGGACGGGGAGGUCCUCUCCGGACGGAAAGAGGGCGAGCAGAGGCGUCGGAGAGUGGAAGGAACCUCAUCCUACACUUCACCCGGGGCUGUGGCGGCUCAGCACUUGACAUCACGCCUGCUUCGCUGCCAGGGUGUGAGGGCAUCACUUGGUGUUUGUCUACUUGCGCUUGUGAAGGCAAGCUGGAGAGACAGCACCGCUGCGCAGCGUGGGCGUGGCCGUCUUUUCUGGAGAGUCGGGCAACUCGUCAUUGAUCAGCCACAGCCGUGACGGUAGCUGAAGGCGGAGGCGGAGGAGAGGCUUUCACACGCGCAUCUCACACAGACACGAAGUGAAAGGCGCCACACGUGUACACACACGCUUUUCUUGCAGUACUGGCCAUCGCUGAAAGGCAAGAGGGAGAGGGCGCGGAGGAGAAAGGGAGAGAAGCGUGCGCGAGAUCGGUGAGGAGUGGGCUCGCUUCUUUUUCUCGAUGAAGAGGGGCGCCCACGCCACACCUCGUCCUGCCCUGCUGCCCCUUCUCUGCAUGUAUUUCGUGAUUACCGUCUCGGGUUUGUUAUAUGCCCCGCAGGUGUCCGUGUGGAUGGACCACACAUACAUACACGCAUACACAUACACGUUUGUAUACGCAUACGCAGGAGCGCGUGUGUCUGGGUGUUCAUGUCGAGCAGCCCACUCGACGGCACAUCAUCAUCACCGCAUACAGGUCGUGCAUAUAACUUCAUAAGAGCGCAAGUCGCACACACACACACAUACAUACAUACACACACGCGCAUAAAUACAUGCAUGCAUACAUAUACACAUACAUAUAUCUCUAUAUAUACAUCUUCUCUCUCCUCUGUGCGUGUCUGUCUGUCUGUGUGUGCGUGUGCGUGCACGUGUGCGUAG